CCCACCUGCUGGCGAGGCAGUGGAACGCGGGGGAAGACGGGGAUUGGCUGCUGCUCCCGCCCGUCUCCACCCGUCUUCGCCCCCGUGCAGUCCUGCCGCUCUGAGGGCGGACGUGCAGGGAGCAGCUGUGCUGAGGUCAAAUAAACAAGCUUGGUGUCACGAGGGUGUAUUGAUUAAAUCAUGGAGAUCACUGUCAGAGGCAAUUGUUGAGGCCUUUGUUGGAUCAGAAAGCAAUCUGGGUGUCUACCUCCAGAUUUACCAUAAUUAGCAAUACCUUUUGGAAGGGAAAAGAAUGAAUUUUCUUUAAAAUGUAUGGUCAUGUCCACCAGUGUCAAGAAACUGGAUACUGGACUUGAUGGAUGAAUUCAAGGUGGCAGUUCUCACAUGUUGCUAGAACUGUAUUUAAGAUUUCAGUAGUGCAUUUGAAAAAACAGUAUUAUAAUUUGUGGGAUCCUAGGAUUUUUUUUAAAGUUUGAACCUAUGGAACUGGAGAAGGCUCGACACCUCCCAGGAUGGAGAACUAGACGGAAGCAGAGGAGGAGAACUUCGGUGGUCUCAGGAAGAUACGUUAGGAUUCUUCUGUAACUGUUUCAGCUGCAACCUUGUACUUUUGAGACUUCCCUGAUGAGACCAUAGCUUUCAUACUAGCGACUUAGUACAGUGAUAAGCAUGAUAUAAAUGAACAGAUAAAUAAAUUAAGCUAAUAGGCAGAAGGCAGGGUAGCUUGACACAUUGUAGACUAACUAGUUCAGAGAGAUGAGUUUUUGUAGGCCUCUAAGCCUAAUCAAAUUGAGGCGGCACAGAGUUUUGAAAGAAAAAGGGCAAAAAAGUACAUCAAACAAUUCUAGAAGAGGUUGAUACAGAUUUUGUGUAAAGCUGAAAUUAUUUCAUAUUUAGUUUGAAUUUGAAUUGUUUCUAUCUAGCUGAUGUUUUCUUAAGUCAUAUGUUUGGAACCAACUUGGCUGCAGGACCUGCCGUAGCAAAGCAAAUCACCCAUUUGGAUCCAAACGUACUGGCAUCUGCCUUUCCUUUGGAUUAAAUCAACAAGGCUGAGAGGGGGCCACUAAUGUGUGGGCAGCUCAGUGUUGCCAUAUAACCAACUCUGCCCAGGCUUUUGCACCCUGGAGAAGUUUCUCCAGCUUCACUUUAUUUUCAAGUGAGGAUUAUGUUCCAUGAGCUGAUGUCUCACUCAGCAUAAUUCUAUUGUCUUGCGAGACAGACAGAUACCUACUAUAUAAAUUACUAAUUUCCUUACCCUCAGUUUCUUAGUUCCCUUAAAAUAUAGCAAUCCCACCCAAAAGAAGAACUCAGUCAAAUUUAGAAGUAUUAUGAGGAUAUUAAGCAUGUUAUAUGGAUGUUUAUGACCUUCCUUAUCAAUGUUUAGUACUGCUGAUGCCAAUUUGCACUAGUAAGUAGGUAGAUCAGGUGUAUGUGACAGAUAAAUUGGAGCCUGAAAUGAGUAUUUUAUUUUUGUAGAUAUCUCCAUUUAAAAGUACUGUCUCCAAACUGCAGAUCUUUACAGGACUUUCUUGAAAUUUUAACACAUUUUAGCUGGCUUCACGACAUAAUGAGAUAAAAUCAGAGGUAUGUCUUAAAAAUUGAUUCAGACAAUAAUAAAAUUUGCACUUUGUUUCAAUGGGAUUAUUGAAAAUCUCACUUAUUUAACCUAGCAAAGGUUAGCUUCUGUACUUUUGUCGUGAAAAUGCUGAGGAACUUAGAAUUUUCAAUGUGGUCAAAAGCAGAUUUAAAUAAAUGAUCAAAGAUUAGUUCUUGCCUCUAGGAUUACAAGAGAAGGAUGGACUUUUAAUUCAGGAGAGAAAAAAAUUAUGCAGAUUUUUAUUUUAUAAAGCACCUGAGAUUAAUCCCUGAUAGUUCCAACACUCUAUUCAGAUUAAGCACCAUAAAAAGCUAGAUCCUUCAUGGAUAUAAAUCCAUUUAGAUCAAUUGACUUCUAUGGAGCUGUAUCAGUUUGCAUCAUUUUAAGAUUUGGCCCUUCAUCUUUAAAAUACAAAGUGAAAGCAGACUUUCAUUGUUAUUCUUAAUUACAUUUCAAGUCAUAGUAUUGACUUUUUUGAGAUAUACAUUUAUUGAGAUUUUAUAAAUAAAUAUAGAUACAGAAGAAGAAAAAAGAGAAAAUAGGAGAAAUAUUUACAUUAGAAAGUACAGUGAAUUAAUUGGAUAUAUACAGCCAGUACCAUAGUUGGUACUUAUAACAGAUGGUAUUUUAUAUUUUGAUAUAAAAAAGAUAUAUUCUUAAUCAUAUAUGUCAAAGAAAAGAGACCAUAUGUUGUUAGAUACUUCCAAAUUGUCUUCUAAUAUGAAGGGCACUCUCUUGAGUGCUAUCAAAUUCCUUACUGGUGUGGUCUAACCAACAGUAGUCUAUUGACGUUUUUCAUCUCCAUAUACUUAUUGUUCAGCCUAGCAUUGCAAUGCUAAGUAAAAACACUAAAAAAGGGAUGUUCCUUAUUUUUUGUAUACACACACACACACACACACACACACACAUAAAUUAGUGGCUGACUGUUGUUAACUCUUGUAGUAUAUUCAUGGUUCUGAAAUGUGGACUACAUAUGCUAGGCACAUCAAGACUGAACAGCUUUCACAUGAGUUGUCUGAAUGAGAUGUGAAAAUAAAGUAGGAAGACAAAAUACCAAACAUGGAGGUACUAGAGUACGCAGGACUGACACAUUUAGAAACUGCUAUCAAGAAGAGGUUGUAAUGGAUUGGUCAUGUCAAGAGAAUGGAAAGAGACCAUACCCCCAAGAAAAUGUUGUAUAACGAGAUUCAAGAUGGCUCUAGAAAGCAGGGUCACCCUCUAUGGCAGUACCAAAAUGUGUGCAAAAAUGACAUAAAGUAAUUCAACAUCAAUAUAGAAAGCUGGGAGAAACUCAUAAAAUCUCAUCUGAUCUAGAAGGAACAUCUGGCACUGGGUGCAGCUUAACAUGAAGCGGCUUUGAUCCAGAAGAUGAAAGCAAAGCAAGAAAGAAGAAAGCAGGGUGCUGUAAACUCCAACUCAGACAACAUAAUGGAUCUGUGAAACUUGUAACAAACUGUGUCUAUCUCAAAUUGGGCUUGUCAGUUACAAACAGACUUAUCAGGCUUCUAACUAGACCUCUUAUGUGUCCACCAUGAUCCAGAGGAUUGACAGUUGCCUGCUUAGAGAUUUUAAAAACCGUGUUUGGGAAAGGACCUCUUUAAUUGCUUGUAAUUGCUUGUAUUCCCCUGUCACACCAUCCCCACUUCUUUCAGGUGUUCUCGUAAUGACCAGUUCUCUAAACUAAAAGGGCAUGAUGUGACCCAAACAAAGAUGGGACAAACAAGAAAGCUAGUCAUCAUUUCCUGGAGUUCAAGGAUACCAAUUCCCAUACAUAGCCAUGCACCAACUCCAUCCUACUUCCAGUUUAGUCACUCUGAGUUUUCCCCCACAUUCUAUUUGAGGUGCCAUUAAAAACAACAAUGACUGUCCAGAAGCUCUAUGCAGAGAAAGUCUAUUAUAGAACUGAGUAGUCCUUGGACAAAAUUGGCAACCAGGAAAAAUUCUAAUAUGUAAGUUGUUAUGCAUGAAGUAACAGACAGAAUUUUUAUCCAGGGUGGGGCCAAACCUUAAUUAAAUUAUAUAUUGCAGUUGUUUACCAAAUGUGUAAGGCCUUAUAUUCCUUUUUGAUGCAAGACAGUCCUUGAUCUUGGCAAAGAAUGGGGGAGAGAGCUUUCAAGAGUCUGAAAGCUAUUUAGAACUUUAGAAUGCCAUCUUCACUUUGACCUAAACAAAAAGUUAGUCCUUCCAUGUGCCAUUUUGUCUAUUGCAGUAUGGAAAUGUUGUCAUGAAGCAUAAAAGUCUGAAUGAGUUAAUUCCCUGCUAGAAAAUUAAAAAUUCCAUUAAUAUCUGCCUGGGAAUCCUUUUACCAUUCUGACAUACCACAAACUGUGACAGGAUCCUUAGUGCACACAAAGGCAUGCCAGGCCUGGUAGCUGCACUGCUACCAUAGCUGUGUAUAAAUAUAAAAUAAAUGCAGGGCAUCAGCAUGCCAAACCAGAUGCCCACAGUGCAUUGCAGGUAUGAGAACACUGGGAUGAAGUCAUCCUACUCUCCCUCCAUGCUUUUUGUUUAAUAGAAUUGCAGAGUGGUCACUAGCUAGAGCAAGAGAUUCCCUCUGGUACACUGAGUACAGAGUUUAUUUUUGUUCAAUUAAACAGUCCCUUUUCAAAAAAAUCAUCAUCAUCAUUGUUCUGGCCUUCUGCUAGAUGGUCAUGAAUAUAAUCUGCUUUUCUAUGUCUUUGUAAUUUUCAAAAUGGUUCCUGUUACUGUGCACAUGAUAUUGCGCCCCUUGUGCUGGACUUUUCACCAUGUUGAGAUUGCCUCUAGAUUCACCAAAAACAAAUCUGGUCUCUGCCAUUUGUUUACCCUUGUAUUCUGUCUCUAUGCUUUGGUAUGCAUUUUUAAUUAGAUGCACUUCAGUUCUUUCACUGCUUGCUAACACUUCCAUUUGGGAAGCAGUUUUCACUAGCCUUGCAAAUAUCCACUGUUCUUUGCAAUGUCAAGUCCUUUUCUCACCUUGCUUUGACUUGGUUAUCACUUAUAUCACAAGUAAUUCGUCCAUCUGUUAACUGUUCCAAUUCACAUUACUUGGCUUUAUUUCGAAGAUCUGCAACAAUGGUCAAUGGGCUCAUCUGGCAGCUGGCUUCUUGUAAAAAAUAUGCCUUUCCCACGUGACAUUCUUGUGUAGAUCAAAAUAUUCUUAGAAAGUUUUGAAUGUCUUCAUCUAGCAGUUUGCAGGGUCUUGUGAUUUCAGUGGAUUGGACUGUAUAUCUCCAAUGCCUUUAGACAGGCCAUAUGUAGUAACAUGGAAGACUUGACCCUCUCCAACUCCACUUGAGUCUUCUCCAAUUUUCUGCCAGAUCCCCUUCCAAAUCGAUGUGGGCAGCUUUCCUUGCUUUGUUGCUGGCAGUUUCUGACACCAUAUGAAACUACCAUGGUUCUGGAGCUACCAAAUCAUUUCUGGCCCAGUAGAAAUUAAAAACAUUUUUCUGCUUCCUUCUGUACUGUGUCAGACAAGAUGUUGAAAUCGCAUGGCAUAAUUGGAUAUGGGAUGCCAUCACUACUUCAAGAGCGUGCAGUGCCACUUCAGCAGUAAGUUCACAGUUACAGUCAUCAAAGAAAACCAAUGUGACUCAUAUGUACUUCUCAGAUUGGCCUAGUAGGCAGCUCUCUGGAAGUGGGAAGUUCCAGUCAAGGUUACCCCCAGUGGACAACAAAUAAGAUUUCCCAUAGUCUGCUUGGCAGCCUACUUUUCCACCUUCAGCAGGAAGAGCUACCAAUACUGAGUCUGUUAUAAUUUCAUAGUUUCAUAGUUUGUAGGGUUGGAAGGGACCUUGACAGAUCAUCAAGUCUGACCCCCUGCCAUGGCAGGAAAGAGUCCUCUGGACCCUCUCAAUGCCAUUCACAUCCCUCCUGAAGUGCGGUGCCCAGAACUGGACACAGUACUCCAACUGCAGCCUGACCAGUGCCAUGUAGAGGGGGAGGAUCACCUCCUUGGACCUGCUUAAGAUGCAUCUGUGGAUGCAUGACAAGGUGCGGUUGGCCUUCCUGACCACGUCCCCACACUGUUGGCCCAUGUUCAUUUUGGCAUCAAUAAUGAUUCCAAGAUCCUUUUCUGCCUCUGCACUGACAAGAAGGGAGUUCCCCAGCCUAUAGGUCUGCUGCUGGUUCUUCUUCCCUAGGUGCAGCACCUUGCACUUGUCAGUGUUGAGUCACUACUGACUUUUUCCAAGUGUUAGGACCUUGGGCUCAUGACUUGACUACAACCUCUGACCACACACAGAGUGGCCUGGAGGGCAUAGGGCAGUAACCCUGUAGAAUCUACUGAAGGGCAUGGCAAAAGAAUUCCAUCUCUACUGAAUACCCAAAUACAACAGGAGAAGGAAAGGGAAAGGAGACCCUAAUCUACAAAAAAAUUUCUGAUUAAAGUCACCUAUCUUAGAUUUCAUAGAUUUCAUAGACAUUAGGGCUGGAAGGGACCUCGGAAGAUCAUCGAGUCCAGCCCCCUGCCCAAAGGGCAGGAAGUCAGCUGGGGUCAUAGGAUCCCAGCAAGAUAAGCAUCCAGUUUCAUCUUGAAGGUGUUCAAUGUAGGCGCUUGAACCACCUCCGGUGGCAGGCUGUUCCAGACCUUGGGGGCUUGGACAGUAAAGAAAUUCUUCCUUAUGUCCAGCCUGAAACGGCCUUGUAGUAGUUUAUGACCGUUCGACCUAGUCGUCAUCCCUUGGGGUGCUCUGGUGAACAAACGUUCCCCCAGAUACUGGUGGUCACCCCGAUAAACUUGUAGGUGGCCAUCAGAUCACCCCUGAGCCUGCGCUUUUCCAGGCUAAAGAGCCCCAGGGCUCUCAGCCUAUCAUCGUAGGGUCUGCUUCCCUGACCUCUGAUCAUGCACAUGGCUCUUCUCUGGACUCUCUCAAGCUUCUCCACGUCCUUUUUUAAUUGUGGAGCCCAAAACUGGACGCAGUACUCUAGCUGCGGCCUCACUAAGGCCAAGUACAAGGGUAGAAUGACGUCCCAGGAUUUGCUUGAGAAGCAUCUAUGGAUGCAAGCCAGCGUUUUGGUUGCUUACUAGCUGCAGCAUCGCACUGCAGGCUCAUGUUCAUCUUGUGGUCAAUGAUGACCCCCAAGUCUCUUUCUUGCAUAGUGCUAUCCAACAUAGCACUGCCAAGCCUAUAAGUAUGCUGUGUGUUUUUCUUCCCAAGGUGGAGAACCUUGCAUUUAUCAGUGUUGAACACCAUCAGAUUCUCGUCCGCCCACUUGCUGAGCCUGUCCAGGUCAGCCUGGAUCACCUGCCUGUCUUCUGGCAUGGAUGCUUUGCCCCAAAGUUUGGUGUCAUCGGCGAACUUGGCCAGUCCGCUUCUGACUCCGGUAACCACAUCAUUAAUGAAGAUGUUGAACAGUAUGGGUCCAAGGACAGAGCCUUGGGUGACCCCACUGGUCACAGGACACUAUGAUGAGUGACUUGCAUCAAUUACUACACUCUGGGUCCAACCCCGGAGCCAAUUUUCCAGCCAGUGGAUCGUGGAGGACCCAAGGCGACAACUGGCCAGUUUCUCCAAGAGGCGAUCAUGGGACACCAGAUCGAAGGCUUUUUUGAAGUCAAGAUAUAUGACAUCAAUCUCUUCUCCCUUGUCCAGGUGAUAGGUCACCUGGUCGUCGAAGGAAAUGAGAUUGGUCAAGCAAGACCUACCCGCAACAAACCCGUGCUGGCUAUCCCUUAAGAUGGUGGCGUCGGCCAGUCCAUUAAGGAUGUCCUCUUUAAUAAACUUUUCUAAGAUCUUCCCCGGGAUAGAAGUCAGGCUAAUGGGCCUAUAGUUAGCCAGAUCCACUUUCCUUCAACAUCUUCAAGUUCCUAUUGUCUACUAGACUCCAGUGAAUACCCAUUAGAAACUGUUUCUCUAGUUAAGCACAUUUAGAUCUGUGUUCUCUGGUCCCUGCAUACUGUUGACAUGCUAUAGACAUAUUAAAGUAAUCAGUGACCUUCCUUGGUAUGUCCAGGCAUCUGUUCCCAUGACCAGGUUCUGUAAUUCAGUUAUCUUGUGGUUUAUUGAAGACUAUAAUGUUUUUCAAUUAUACUAUGGGUUAUUUUCCUUUCUCCUUCCUUGGGCAGUUUUGGUUGUUUGAUACUGCUAGGUACUUUGAUAGGUAACUUUUCCUUUCCUGUUAUCAGGGACACUAUGGACAGGGACUAGUCAAACUGUAAGGGACCAGUGCAUGGACAGUCUAGCCCAGUGAUUAGGGCUGAAAUCUGGAAUCAGGAUAAGGAGCAGGAGCCAAGGACAAGAACCAUGCUAUCAGCCAAGGUCAAGAACCAAAAACAGCAGUCGGGACACAAGUUAAGUGUUAGGUGCCAAAGACCUGAACAAGACAUGAAUCAGAGGUUGGAAAUAAACUUGAAGAAACAGUCAAUGAUAGACCAAUAUUAACCUAUAUAGAGUUGAACCUAUAAUGUUGCCCUAAGUAACAGAACUACUGUUCAUAGCAGCCAACCCAGGAGGGUAACCACAACUGUGGUUACCACAGGUAAGCUGAAAUGGUUUGCUUGUCCAACAUUUGCUCACGGGCCUUAUCUGGGGGAGAAAUCUGGACCCAGGCUGUCUGCUAUUAACCAGUAACCCUGACACAGGCAUUUCUGUGAGGGUCUAAGGAACUAGUCUUACUUUCACACAUUUUGGCUUGACUGUGUCCCAGAUAAAAACCCUGGCCAUUGUGCCUUUCAAGGUCCCAGCCUUUCUGUAAAAAUGGCUGGAGAGGCUUUCUGGUAUAGGUAGGCUACUGAAUUCACUAGUGGGCAAAAGUCCUGCUGUAUACACUGUAGAUACAAGUGUAGCAACUGAUCACAAUUGAACAAUUGCCUUCAUCAGUACAGAUUUAUAGCUGUAGUAGGUCACACUUUUUUCCCUUUUAGACAGCACACAGUAUGGAUAUUCUCCUUGCCCCUCAAGGUAAAAAAGUCUUCUGUCUUUCUCCUUUUCCUUUGGUCUUUUGAGAUCUAUCCUCCUGUGAUAAAGAUGAUGAUGAUGGAGCAAAAAAAGAGGUCUUUGUAUGGCUUCAGUACAUUUACAGAUGGGGUAUAUCUUCAGAAAGAAAGGAACUAAUAUUUAUGAAUAUAAAAAUACAUACCAGACUACACUGCAACAUAACACAGCUAGUAUAUACAGAAUGAUUAGUGACUGCCUAAUGUUUAUGUUUCUUUAAGAAAACUAUGUGCAAUAUAAAUAUAUACAUUUCACAUAGUGGGAAGAAAAUUACACCAACAGGCAAAGCCACACUACUAUGUCCAUAUAGCAGUGUUUGAAAUAAUGGAACAGGAAUUCCCAUGUGGUUUUGGGUUAAAGAGCUGUUAUCCUACUAACAACUCUUUAACCUAUUGGGUUAUAUAGGCUCUAAAUAUUCCCUACUCAAACAAAUAAAUAAAAGAUUCUCUUAAAGAAACGGAUGAGACAUUUAAUGGCCUAGGAUCUCUUAUGCAAAUCUUCAGACUUGUGUCACCAAAAAUGUACAUGCAGUGUAUUUUAUUUAGAACUAGCUUUUUUGGUUAACACUUUGCUCUCCAUAAACAAACCAAACAAGUUCAAAAGAUCUGUAUAAAGCCAUCAAAUUUAUGCAGUAUCCUAUGAGAAGACUUGAGGAGCACAUAUAUAUUCCAGAAAUAUUUUCAGUUCCAGCAUUUUUAAUUUCAGGAAUAAGUCAGGUCUAAUUUCAGUUGGUUUAGAUAUGUUUAAGGCACUUCCCUUAGGAUUGCAUCAGAUCCUAUGCAGUACCAAUUUGCCAGAUAUUCUAGGAUUCUAAAUAAAACAUGCCUGCUUGCAAGUAAGUUGUAAACUAGGAAUGAAGUUCAGUGCCACCCACGGGGAAUGGGGAGUGCCAGAUAACAAAAUAUGCCACUUAACUGAGAGGCCCGAACAGGUGUCUUUGCCACCCCCCCCCCAUCCCUGGGAGGGUGUCGCUGCCCCCCCGCUGCAUCACUGCCUCUGUCACAGGCCCCAAGGGACAAGGAGGGGGGCCCCACGCAAGCUGCUAUGCCCUGAGCCGUGGGCCCCAGGCCGUGGGGGCUCAGCAAAACUGGAAGUGCCAUGGUGGGCACUUCUGGUUUUGCUUUUUCUUUACAAGCCGGCAUGCUGGUUAAUAGAGCAUGCCAGCUUGUAAGGUGCCAGAUAGCACAGCUUUUACUGUACUUAUAUAUUUCUGUAUCAGCGAGCACAUAUACACAUGCAUUUACUCCAGCCCAGAUUUACUUAGACGCAGGGGUAGCAGUGGACGUCUUAGAUGCAGGGGUAGCAGUGGACAUAGUCUUUCUGGACUUUAGGAAGGCCUUCGACACUGUCUCUCACCCCAAUUCUCAUUUAAAAACUAGGGGACUGUGGCAUCGACACCUACACAGUCAAAUGGGUCACUAGUUGGCUGGAGGGCCGCACCCAGAGAGUGGUGAUGGAUGGGUCAUUUUCAACCUGGAGGGAAGUGGGCAGUGUGGUUCCACAGGUCUUGGGCCCGCACUGUUCUACAUCUUCAUCAGCAACUUGGAUGGGGGUGUAAACACCCUAUUCAAAUUCUCAGACGACACUAAGUUGUGGGGGAAAGUGGGCAUGCCAGAAGGGAGGAAUAGGCUGCAAUCAGACCUAGACAGGUUACAGGGGUGAGCGUAUGAGAACAGGAUGGGUUUCAACACUGACAAGUGCAGGGUACUACACCUGGGGAGGAGGAACCAGCAGCAGACCUACAGGCUGGGGAACUCCCUUCUCAUCAGUACAGAGGCAGAAAAGGCUCUUGGAGCCAUUAUCAAUGCCAAAAUGAACAUGGGCCGACAGUGUGGGGACGCGGUCAGGAAGGCCAACCAUACCUUGUCAUGCAUCCACAGAUGCAUCUCAAGCAGGUCCAACAAGGUGAUCCUCCCCCUGUAUGCGACACUGGUCAGGCCACAGUUGGAGUACUGUGUCCAGUUCUGGGCGCUGCACUUCAGGAGGGAUGUGGACAACAUGGAGAGGGUCCAGAGGAGGGCCACUCACAUGAUCAGGGGUCAGCAGGGCAGGCCCUACGAGGAGAGGCUAAGGAACCUGAACCUGUUCAGCCUCCACAAGAGAAGGCUGAGGGGAGAUCUAGUGGCCAUUUACAACCUAGUCAGAGGGGACCAGCCCGCAUUGGGGGAGUCCCUGUUCCCCCGAGCAUUACCAGGAGUGACUAGAAAUAACAGCCACAAGCUGGCAAAGGGUAGAUUCAGACUAGACAUCAGGAGGCACUACUUCACUGUCAGGUCAGCUAGGAUCUGGAACCAACUUCCAAGAGAAGUGGUGCUGGCUCCUACCCUGGGGGUCUUUAAGAAGAGGCUAGAUAAACACCUUGCUGGGAUCAUUUGACCCCAGUACUCUUUCCUGCCAUGGCAGGGGGUCAGACUUGAUGAUCUGCUCAGGUCCCUUCUGACCCUACCAACUAUGAAACUAUAAUCCAAAGUAAGUGUUUUUGAGCAGGCGUCUACAUGUGGGGGGAUUAGGGAUCAGAUUAGCACCCAGUUCCCUACAGCCCUGCAGUGGGUCCCUGCCACUGCUGGGGGGAGCUCCAGGCUCCCUUCCAGGUGCCAGCUCA
Long non-coding RNA from Alligator mississippiensis (American alligator), 11113 nucleotides. RefSeq lists it as uncharacterized. NCBI's taxonomy places the organism in Eukaryota, Metazoa, Chordata, Crocodylia, Alligatoridae. The transcript has 2 exons. The record is from RefSeq and is a predicted model, not a curated record.